GGUUCCUACGGGACGCAGCAGUGGGGAAUAUUGCACAAUGGGCGCAAGCCUGAUGCAGCGACGCCGCGUGCGGGAUGGAGGCCUUCGGGUUGUGAACCGCUUUCAGCAGGGACGAGGCCCUCACGGUGACGGUACCUGCAGAAGAAGCCCCGGCUAACUACGUGCCAGCAGCCGCGGUAAUACGUAGGGGGCGAGCGUUAUCCGGAUUCAUUGGGCGUAAAGCGCGCGUAGGCGGCCUGUUAGGUCGGGGGUCAAAUACCGGGGCUCAACCCCGGUCCGCCCCCGAUACCGGCAGGCUUGAGUCU
RNAcentral lists this ribosomal RNA (305 nucleotides) under uncultured bacterium. Its description in RNAcentral is "bacterial SSU rRNA". It matches the Rfam family "Bacterial small subunit ribosomal RNA", at positions 334 to 649 of the family's 1533-position model. The record is from RNAcentral.